This 373-nucleotide ribosomal RNA is filed under the name Pantoea sp. CAR58. RNAcentral describes it as "bacterial SSU rRNA". It matches the Rfam family "Bacterial small subunit ribosomal RNA", at positions 974 to 1349 of the family's 1533-position model. The record is from RNAcentral. Lineage: Bacteria; Pseudomonadati; Pseudomonadota; Gammaproteobacteria; Enterobacterales; Erwiniaceae.
CCUGGUCUUGACAUCCACGGAAUUCGGCAGAGAUGCCUUAGUGCCUUCGGGAACCGUGAGACAGGUGCUGCAUGGCUGUCGUCAGCUCGUGUUGUGAAAUGUUGGGUUAAGUCCCGCAACGAGCGCAACCCUUAUCCUUUGUUGCCAGCGGUCCGGCCGGGAACUCAAAGGAGACUGCCAGUGAUAAACUGGAGGAAGGUGGGGAUGACGUCAAGUCAUCAUGGCCCUUACGACCAGGGCUACACACGUGCUACAAUGGCGCAUACAAAGAGAAGCCACCUCGCGAGAGCAAGCGGACCUCAUAAAGCCCGUCUAUCCGGAUUGGAGUCUGCAACUCGACUCCAUGAAGUCGGAAUCGCUAGUAAUCGUGGAU